GACGAACGCUGGCGGCGUGCUUAACACAUGCAAGUCGAACGGAGGGGCCGUGCUUUGGGGGGGUGCGCGAGUGGAGAACGGGGGAGUAGCACGUGGGUAACGUACCCUGGCCGUUGGGAUAACUUCAGGAAAGUGGGGAUAAUACGGGCUAGGAGCUCCUGCUGCAUGGUGGGGGUGGGAAAGUUUCGGCGGUUGGGGAUGGAAUGGCGGCUUAUCAGCUUGAUGGUUGGGUGGUGGCUUACCAAGGCUUUGACGGGUAGCCGGCCUGAAAGGGUGACCGGCCACAUUGCGACUGAGAUACGGCCCAGCCUCCUCCGCGAGGCAGCGGUGGGGAAUAUUGCACAAGGCGCGGAACCCUGACGCGGCACCGCCGCGCGCGGGAUGACGUCAUGCGGUUUGUAAUCCGCUUUCGUCUGUGACGAAGCGUGAGUGACGGUACCGGGUAAAGAAGCACCGGCUAACUCCGUG
Molecule: ribosomal RNA, 468 nt
Filed under: uncultured bacterium
Lineage: Bacteria
Description: partial 16S ribosomal RNA
Rfam family: Bacterial small subunit ribosomal RNA
Source: RNAcentral